CUCGUAGGCGGUUCGUCGCGUCCGGUGUGAAAGUCCAUCGCUUAACGGUGGAUCCGCGCCGGGUACGGGCGGGCUUGAGUGCGGUAGGGGAGACUGGAAUUCCCGGUGUAACGGUGGAAUGUGUAGAUAUCGGGAAGAACACCAAUGGCGAAGGCAGGUCUCUGGGCCGCCACUGACGCUGAGGAGCGAAAGCGUGGGGAGCGAACA
This 207-nucleotide ribosomal RNA is filed under the name uncultured bacterium. RNAcentral's name for it is "partial 16S ribosomal RNA". It matches the Rfam family "Bacterial small subunit ribosomal RNA", at positions 568 to 774 of the family's 1533-position model. The record is from RNAcentral.